GCUCGCGAGGCCAAGGCGCAGGUACGGCGGCGCGAAUUUGAAGAUCUUCGGUUCAAGGACGGAGAGUCUGUUGAGGAUUUCGGGUUGCGCCUCGCCGCCCUCGUCGCGGAUCUGGAGCUAUACGGCGACCCCAUCACCGAGCACAAGGCCGUUCAAAAGUUUCUCCGAGUGGUGCCGCGGAAGUUCCGUCCGAUGGCCAUGGCGAUCGAAUCACUGAUCGAUCUGAAGACCAUGUCGAUCGAGGAACCCGUCGGGCGCUUCUCGGCUUGUGAGGAUCACUACGAUCUCGACGAUGCCACGCAGUCCACCGGGCGCCUCAUGCUCACGCACGAGGAGUGGAUGGCCAGAGAAAAGCACGACGGCGGCAGCGGAUCGUCAUCCAGUGCGGGCAGCGGCAAGAACAAGUCGCCCGCUAAACCGAAAGGCGCGGGCGGCGGCAAGCCUGCGUCAGGAAACCAGGGUGCAGGUGGAUCGGGAGGCUCAGGCGGCAGGAAGAAGAAAGGCAAAUGCCAUCACUGCGGCAUCCCGGGGCACUGGAAAAAGGAGUGCCGGACGUGGCUUCGUGAGCAGGAGCAGAAAGGCACCCAGGAGCAGGCUAAUCUGGUGCAGGGUGGCGCGGAGCACGACCCAGGUCUGUAUAUGGCUGUGGUCACCACCGUUUCCACGCCACAGAUCGCUGCGCCGCAGGAAGUCUUCCUCAACGAAGAGAAGGUCAUGCGAGUGCCCUCGCCGGACGGAGUGUGGUAUUUCGACACCGGCGCCAGUAGCCACAUGACGGGCGACAGGGGAGUCUUUGCGUCACUUGACGAAACAGUGCACGGCACGGUGAAGUUCGGAGACGGCUCUGUAGUGGCCAUACAAGGGCGCGGCUCAGUGGUGUUCCGCUGCCAAGGCGGAGGGCAGCGCAUGCUCACGGGCGUCUUCCACAUCCCGAGUCUGCGCACGAAUAUUGUGUCAGUAGGGCAGCUAGACGAAGCAGGCUGUGUCGUCAACAUACAAGAAGGCGUGAUGACCAUCCAGGAUCCAGGACAGCGCACACUGGCACACAUUCGUCGCUCUGGUAAUCGCCUGUACACUGGGGCGUUGGAGAUCGACACGCCCAGGUGCUUGCUGGCACUGGGAGACGACGUGACCUGGCGUUGGCACGCACGCAUGGGGCAUUUGCAUUUCCGUGCUCUCCGUGCAAUGUCAUCGAAGCAGAUGGUGCGGGGCAUGCCAGUGAUCGACCGCGUCGAAGAAUACUGUGAUGGGUGCGCUCUCGGCAAGCAACAUCGCACGCCGUUCCCACAAGUCGCCGCGUACCGCGCAGAGCGCUGGCUGGAGCUCGUGCACACUGACCUUUGUGGGCCGAUCGAGCUGACCACACCUGGAGGAAGCAAGUAUUUUCUGCUGAUUGUGGACGACUACAGUCGUUACAUGUGGUUGGAGCUGCUCAAAUCCAAGGACGAAGCCUUUGCACGGUUCAGAAAGGUGCAAACUCUCGCGGAGGCAGACGGGAGCUGCAAGCUGCACGCAUUCAGAUCUGAUCGGGGGGGCGAGUUCAACUCCAAUGAGUUCAAAGCCUACUGUGAAGAAAUUAGUGUCAAGCACUACACAACUGCUCCGUACUCGCCGCAGCAAAAUGGAGUGGUAGAGCGGAGAAAUCAGACGGUCGUGGAAAUGGCCAGAUGCAUGUUGAAGAGCAUGGACAUGCCAGCGUACUUCUGGGCGGAGGCGGUGAGAACCGCCGUGUAUGUGCUGAAUCGCGCGCCCACACGCAGUCUGGAGGGUGUCACGCCUUAUGAAGCGUGGCACGGCCGUAAGCCUAGCGUGCAACACUUGCGCACGUUUGGGUGCACGGUUCAUGUCAAGAACGUCGGCCCCGGCGUCACGAAGCUAAGCGAUCGCUCAACGGCAAUGGUGUUCAUUGGAUACGAGGAAGGUUCCAAGGCCUAUCGUGUGUACAACCCAACAACGAAGAAGGUGCAGGUGACUCGAGACGUGAUCUUUGAAGAAAGCAGGCCCUGGACAUGGCGCGCACCGGGCACGGCAGUGGACCGCGCCGCGCCGACGACCUUCACAGUCGUGUACACCACUGCCGGCGGGGUGCACGAGAUAGACACAGGGUCUCCUACGUGUGCCUCGACGCCGCAGCGGUCCCCAACGCCCACAACACCUGCACCCGCGGCCUCACCUGCUGGGGUGAUCACGCCGGCUUCAAGUACAUCAGGGACGCCAGAGUCCACUCUGGCAACACCUGCAGCAGCGGACGGAGACUACUCGGCCACCCUGCAGUCACACGACUCCAGACACGACGUGCCAACAGGACAGCCAGUGCGCUUCCGGAGCUUCACGAGUGUACUGGAGGAAACUGAAGAUCAGGCAGUGCGUGAGCAGUUUGAGCGCUGCCUGCUCGUGCGUUGCAUGUUUAGCGUGGAGGAGCCAAGCGAUGUGGACGAAGCGCUGGCUAGCAAGGCAUGGAAAGGGGCCAUGGAUGUCGAGAUGCAGUCCAUUGUCGAAAAUGGCACAUGGAAGCUUGCUCAACUCCCGGCUGGGCACAAAGCAAUAGGACUGAAGUGGGUGUAUCGUGUCAAGCGUGAUCCGGCAGGCAAUGUAGUCAAGCACAAAGCUCGUCUCGUCGCAAAGGGAUAUGUCCAGCGUCAGGGGGUGGAUUUUGAGGAGGUUUUCGCCCCCGUAGCUCGCAUGGAGACAGUUCGGCUGCUGCUGGCUCUCGCCGCGCACUCUGGCUGGGAAGUUCACCACAUGGACGUGAAAUCAGCCUUCCUGAACGGCGAUCUCACUGAGGAGGUAUAUGUUGAUCAGCCACCGGGGUAUGAAGUUGCAGGCCAGGAAGGAAAGGUACUCCGACUGCACAAGGCUCUGUAUGGGCUGCAUCAGGCACCGCGG
RNAcentral lists this ribosomal RNA (2886 nucleotides) under Triticum aestivum (bread wheat). RNAcentral describes it as "partial small subunit ribosomal RNA". The record is from RNAcentral. Lineage: Eukaryota; Viridiplantae; Streptophyta; Magnoliopsida; Poales; Poaceae.